Molecule: ribosomal RNA, 258 nt
Filed under: Chaetoceros curvisetus
Lineage: Eukaryota; Bacillariophyta; Thalassiosirophyceae; Chaetocerotales; Chaetocerotaceae
Description: partial Bacterial small subunit ribosomal RNA
Rfam family: Bacterial small subunit ribosomal RNA
Source: RNAcentral
AGCGUUGUCCGGAAUUAUUGGGCGUAAAGGGCUCGUAGGUGGUUUGUCGCGUCGUCUGUGAAAUUCCGGGGCUUAACUCCGGGCGUGCAGGCGAUACGGGCAUAACUUGAGUACUGUAGGGGUAACUGGAAUUCCUGGUGUAGCGGUGAAAUGCGCAGAUAUCAGGAAGAACACCGGUGGCGAAGGCGGCUCUCUGGUCUGUUACUGACGCUGAGGCUCGAAAGCAUGGGUGAACAGGAUUAGAUACCCUGGUAGUCC